Molecule: long non-coding RNA, 489 nt
Filed under: Pongo abelii (Sumatran orangutan)
Lineage: Eukaryota; Metazoa; Chordata; Mammalia; Primates; Hominidae
Description: lincRNA
Source: RNAcentral
AUCAGAUUUUGCUUCAAAAAUUUUGGACCUUUGUUACUAGAUACAUAAACAUCUGAGGUGUUUAUUGGAGCUCUUUUCCUAGAACUGAUAAUUGGAUUCAAGGUAUUCUGGAGAACAAGGAAACAGGCUGAGGAAGAAUAAGAGACUUGCUAGAGGAAGAAAACUUAGGCCCAGAAAGCUUAAUAUAUUACCCAAAGAGUUAGUCCACAUUGAACUGGGAGUUAAUCCUUGGCUGUCUGGCUGGAAAGCUUUUGCUCUGUAUCUUGGAUGAAUAAACUAAACCUUAGGGAGUUUUCCUAGAAGAAACCAUAUUACAACUCCUACAUGAGAAGCUAAAUUACAACACAAAGAUUGCUUGGUGAGCAUGUGAUCAAAACAGGGCAAGAUGAAGACUUUUAGAGGCCACAAGCAUUUUAGUGUGCCUCCCAACUUCCCUUAUGUUAUUCAAAAUAUAAACAAUAAAAUCUACAAAGUUGUGAAAGAAGUCCA